Long non-coding RNA from Panthera uncia (snow leopard), 323 nucleotides. RefSeq lists it as uncharacterized. NCBI's taxonomy places the organism in Eukaryota, Metazoa, Chordata, Mammalia, Carnivora, Felidae. The record is from RefSeq and is a predicted model, not a curated record. The transcript is spliced from 2 exons.
CAUUACCUGAGCUGAAGUCUGACGCUCAACCAACUGAGCCACCCAGGCGCCCACCCCUGUACUGAUUCGUGGACUCCUUAGUGCUGAUUAGCAGAGAGACUGCUAAAGACUUGAAGUCUGGGAACAAAGCAAAACAAAAACCACAUCGUCCCUCUCCUCCCCUCCCCAGCUUCCUACACAGAACAUUUCCAAACAAACUUCUGUACCAUCUCAUGUGAUCGCCUAGGUACACAGCAGCGGCUCCAAGCAAUGUAUUUAUAGUGUUUAUCCCAACACAGUACUCAUGAAACCAUUUAAGUAAAUAUUAUUUUGAUAUUUUCCCU